This 903-nucleotide ribosomal RNA is filed under the name Culicoides sp. A2. RNAcentral's name for it is "SSU rRNA". It matches the Rfam family "Eukaryotic small subunit ribosomal RNA", at positions 84 to 920 of the family's 1831-position model. The record is from RNAcentral. Lineage: Eukaryota; Metazoa; Arthropoda; Insecta; Diptera; Ceratopogonidae.
GAACCGCGAAGGCUCAGUAUAUCGGCUGUAUUCAUUAGAUCAUAUACUCAGUUACUUGGAUAACUGUGGAAAAUCUAGAGCUAAUACAUGCAUUAAUGCACGAACCGCAAGGAACGUGUGCAAUUAUUAGACAAACCAAGCGAUACUUUUAGUAUCGAUUUACGGUGGAACUCUAGAUAAUUUUGCUGAUCGUAUGGUCUUGUACCGACGACAGAUCUUUCAAAUGUCUGCCCUAUCAACUAUUGAUGGUAGUAUAGAGGACUACCAUGGUAGCAACGGGUAACGAGGAAUCAGGGUUCGAUUUCGGAGAGGCAGCAUGAGAAACGGCUACCACAUCUAAGGAAGGCAGCAGGCGCGUAAAUUACCCAUUACCAGUACGGUGAGGUAGUGACGAAAAAUAACAAUACAGGACUCUUUAUGAUGUCCUGUAAUUGGAAUGAGUUUAUCAUAAAUCCUUUAACGAGGAUCAAGUGGAGGGCAAGUCUGGUGCCAGCAGCCGCGGUAAUUCCAGCUCCACUAGCGUAUAUUAAAAUUGUUGCGGUUAAAACGUUCGAAGUUUGAUUUUGUCCAGCACGGGUAUUACACCAUAAGUUUUUGGUUGUAAAUUACUUUUGAUGCUAGGACUAUAAGUUUGUGGCACCUAUAUAAUUCUUUAAUGGGAUUGUAUAGGCAAAAUGUGUAUAGUGUGCCUUUAAUCGGGUGUAUUAUAUCGCAUGCCCAACUAUUAAUUACCUUGAACAAAUUAGAGUGCUCAAAGCAGGCUUUUAUUGCCUUGAAUAAUCUUGCAUGGAAUAAUGGAAUAAGACCUCGAUCUAUAUAUUUCAUUGGUUUGAAUUGAUCAUGAGGUAAUGAUAAUAAAAGCAGUUGGGGGCAUUAGUAUUACGACGCGAGAGGUGAAAUUCA